RNAcentral lists this long non-coding RNA (203 nucleotides) under Amborella trichopoda. RNAcentral describes it as "long non-coding RNA (ATRI_LNC002939)". The record is from RNAcentral. Lineage: Eukaryota; Viridiplantae; Streptophyta; Magnoliopsida; Amborellales; Amborellaceae.
CCGAUAGAAAAAAAAAAUAAAAGUGAGACCGAGGAAAUAAUGUUGAGAGUCACCGUGGACUCUCAAACAGGCAGGACGUGCAGGGCUGGCCCAGCGGGAACGCUGGACAUAAUGGAUUUGUUUGGUUAUUUUGUUUCGUGAUCUUAGUGAGAUAAGGCUAAAAUAUUUUGUUUAUUAAUUUUGAUGUCGGGCCAAAGAUUUAG